ACACACAUAUGUCGUGAAGUACAUGGUUCCAGAACUAUGGUAACCCGUAGUUUGCUCUACUGGUGAUAGUAGGAUGAUGGAAACAUCACUACUGAAUGUAGCUCUUGUUUCUUCAACUAAUCAUCAUGUACUAGAGUUUCUCUUCCUCUUGCUACUGUUUGGUUUUUGAUGUCACUAGCUUGUACUGAAACAUGCAGACUUUACCCCUUGCUAGAUCCUUCGGUGGAGGUGACCCAUGUGAUGGUGAUUCGCUCCACCAGUUCCGGUACGGCAGUGGUGGUGCUACACUUCUACUGAUCCUACGAUGGCUACGCAUUGGUAGGCUUGGCUGCCUCCCUUAGCUGUCGCUGUGAUGGUGAAGCUCAGCCUAGGGUACAACCACUUCCGAUGAGCUCCUCAGGUCCCCUUCCUCCCCUCCUACUCGCUCCAUGAUUCUUUGCUUUGCCUUUGUGAGGUGUAAUUAUUUAAUUUUUGUCAUAGUCGAGCAUUGGAUGAUAUAUUGUAUCUGUCAUGGAGGUACAUGGUUCAUGGAUAUGCCAACCUGCAGCUUGUUGUACUAGUGAUAGUAGGAUAAUGCAAGUUUUGACAAUCGAUACGUAUUCCUGCAUGUUAGUGUCUCUCCGUGUAAGUACGAAUUUUGGUGAUGCCUUCAUCUAUGAUGAUGCUCUGCCUUUCACAUUCAUUCAUUGUCUGAUUGUUCUAGGAGUCCUCAUAUUUAUUUGAAAAUCUGUGCACAUGUACAUCAUUCUAGAGAAGCAUUCCCAUACCAGCACAUGUAUUCGAAAAAUUUAUUCAAAUCUCCUCACUUCAUAUGUUGCUAUCAACACUAAGUUCGUAGUGUUGCAUGCUGUUAAGAGAUACUGCAACUCCACAGUAGACAACUAAAACAUAUUAGUAAAAUCAGUAUGCAUCCCUAGUGAUGCUUUAUCUUGUUAUUUUAGUCCAUGAGUGAUGUGUUGGAGCAUCACUGACUUGUAUGGGUUUUUUUCAAGGUCUAUACAAGUGCCAUCUUUGUAUGGCAACAUCCGCCUCCUGUGUCAUGUCAUGUAUCUAUUUCACUUUAGAUGUUUUAAGUGAAUGAUGUAUUACUUGCGAGUGUUGAUGUACUGAUGCAAAUAGUGCUUGUGUACUUGUGACUAAUCUGAUUUCCCUCUCAUUUAUAGGAGUUCCUUGGCCAAAGAAAUUUGAAGAAGCUCGAAGCCCCAGUCAGCGGCUCGCUUUAUAUGUUAUUGAACUUGUAAUCCGGAAUUUGCUUGGAAUUUUGAUGUAAUGCUGAUCUUGCUAGGAAUUGGGUGUAUAUUUACUUGUUGUACCUGUUAUUUAAUGUUGGGUGUACUUGUUAUUCAAAUGCUGGGAAUUUGAAUGUGAUAAAUAUAUUUAGUUGGAUGUGAACAUAAUACUGAAAGAGUUCUUGGCCCAAACACUACUGGACCUUAAAAAGGCCACAACCCAAACAUAGUUGUGG
Molecule: long non-coding RNA, 1465 nt
Filed under: Triticum aestivum (bread wheat)
Lineage: Eukaryota; Viridiplantae; Streptophyta; Magnoliopsida; Poales; Poaceae
Description: long non-coding RNA (TAES_LNC022020)
Source: RNAcentral